GCCCCGGGUCACAGGCUAGUCAGUGGCCUAAGGAAGACAGUGGUUCUCGUGACCAGUCCUAAGGCUGUACCCAGGCCUAUCACAUUGAGCUACCAGGCACUGUCUCCUUAGCCCAGACUUCUGUGGGGCUCAUUUCCACCUGCAGAUCUAACCUUGUCUUGGUGACUUAGCCUUCCUGCUGCACUCCCGUCUGGGAGAACUGGGAAGGCAGCAGUUGUGUCUGCUGCCCUCUGGUGGGUGUGUAUGGGUGUGGGUGUGUGCACAUACAUAAAGCACUAUGCCGUCCUGCUGUUCUGUACUUUAUAGUCACACACCCUACUUUCCUCUAGAUCCUUCUUCUGAUUGACAUUGAGCAGUCCUACAUCAACACAAACCAUGAAGACUUCAUUGGAUUUGCCAAUGCCCAGCAGAGGAGCACGCAGCUGAACAAGAA
This 433-nucleotide long non-coding RNA is filed under the name Rattus norvegicus (Norway rat). RNAcentral's name for it is "long non-coding RNA NONRATT027497". Lineage: Eukaryota; Metazoa; Chordata; Mammalia; Rodentia; Muridae. The record is from RNAcentral.